Molecule: ribosomal RNA, 236 nt
Filed under: uncultured bacterium
Lineage: Bacteria
Description: partial 16S ribosomal RNA
Rfam family: Bacterial small subunit ribosomal RNA
Source: RNAcentral
CCGGCACGGGUGAGUAACACGUAUCCAACCUGCCGUCUACUCUUGGACAGCCUUCUGAAAGGAAGAUUAAUACAAGAUGGCAUCAUGAGUCCGCAUGUUCACAUGAUUAAAGGUAUUCCGGUAGACGAUGGGGAUGCGUUCCAUUAGAUAGUAGGCGGGGUAACGGCCCACCUAGUCUUCGAUGGAUAGGGGUUCUGAGAGGAAGGUCCCCCACAUUGGAACUGAGACACGGUCCA